Molecule: ribosomal RNA, 301 nt
Filed under: uncultured bacterium
Lineage: Bacteria
Description: partial 16S ribosomal RNA
Rfam family: Bacterial small subunit ribosomal RNA
Source: RNAcentral
CAGUAGCCGCGGUAAUACAGAGGGUGCGAGAGUUAAUCGGAUUUACUGGGCGUAAAGCGUGCGUAGGCGGCUUCUUAAGUCGGAUGUGAAAUCCCUGAGCUUAACUUAGGAAUUGCAUUCGAUACUGGGAAGCUAGAGUAUGGGAGAGGAUGGUAGAAUUCCAGGUGUAGCGGUGAAAUGCGUAGAGAUCUGGAGGAAUACCGAUGGCGAAGGCAGCCAUCUGGCCUAAUACUGACGCUGAGGUACGAAAGCAUGGGGAGCAAACAGGAUUAGAUACCCCCGUAGUCCCUGUCUCUUAUAC